RNAcentral lists this small RNA (264 nucleotides) under Notechis scutatus (mainland tiger snake). RNAcentral's name for it is "7SK RNA (ENSNSUG00000007963.1)". The stretch from base 1 to 198 matches the Rfam family "7SK RNA". From Rfam's summary of the family: 7SK was discovered as an abundant small nuclear RNA in the mid-70s but a possible function has only recently been suggested. The record is from RNAcentral. Lineage: Eukaryota; Metazoa; Chordata; Lepidosauria; Squamata; Elapidae.
GGAUGUGAAGGCAAUCUGGCUGGGACAAAUCUGUCACCCCAUUGAUCAUCAGUGUUGCUUUGGCUGAUUUUGCCUGGUAGGUGGGUGUUUUCUUUCUCCCUCACCACUCCAUGUGAGCCUUUCCCCAACCGGCACGUCGAGUGAAAGUAGACAACCAUUUCAAAUCAAAGAAAUAUACUGUUUUUCAGUCAAGAUAUUGUUCGUGUCAAUGGUAACACAUAUCUCACAUCUCCCCAAAUAAUAAGGCCAAGUGUUCAGCUGGGG